This 459-nucleotide ribosomal RNA is filed under the name uncultured bacterium. RNAcentral's name for it is "partial 16S ribosomal RNA". It matches the Rfam family "Bacterial small subunit ribosomal RNA", at positions 338 to 795 of the family's 1533-position model. The record is from RNAcentral.
CCUACGGGAGGCAGCAGUGAGGAAUAUUGGUCAAUGGUCGGGAGACUGAACCAGCCAAGCCGCGUGAGGGAUGACAGUACAGAGUAUUGUAAACCUCUUUUGUCAGGGAACAAAGGCGGGGACGUGUCCCCGGAUGGGUGUAACCGAAGAAAAAGCAUCGGCUAACCCCGGGCCAGCAGCCGCGGUAAUACGGAGGAUGCGAGCGUUAUCCGGAUUUAUUGGGUUAAAGGGGUGCGCAGGCGGACUGUUAAGUCAGCGGUCAAAGCCCGGGGCUCAACCCCGGCCCGCCGUUGAAACUGGCAGUCUCGAGUUGGAGAGAAGUAUGCGGAAUGCGCGGUGUAGCGGUGAAAUGCAUAGAUAUCGCGCAGAACUCCGAUUGCGAAGGCAGCAUGCCGGCUCCACACUGACGCUGAGGCACGAAAGCGUGGGUAUCGAACAGGAUUAGAUACCCCGGUAGUC